Molecule: non-coding RNA, 428 nt
Organism: Pocillopora verrucosa
Lineage: Eukaryota; Metazoa; Cnidaria; Anthozoa; Scleractinia; Pocilloporidae
Source: RefSeq, a predicted model, not a curated record
GUGAAAAAGCCAUUACUUGACGUAGCGUAGUAACAUUUUGCCUUCGAUGGUAUUUUCAUCUAAUCGAACUGUUAAAAAAGGACGGCCGUAUAUGCUCACGUUGUGUAUAAAUUUAGAGGGACCGUCGAUAAGGAUCACUGAUUUCAGAAGAUUUCUGUACCCCGUGAGUUCGCACUGUACUGUGACAGGAAAAUGAGAAAACUCGUACUGACUUUGGUUUUCAUUGCAUGUAUCGCCUAUGGGUACUGUCGUUCUUUUUUGGCUGAAGACAACGCACGCUCAGCAGAGAGAGUGAGACAGAAAUUAUUUGCAAGGAUGAGUAAAAUGGACGACACCGCUGACACUAAGCGAAGAGGGGAAAAAAGGAGUCAAAACUGUAAACCACCUCAAUGUAAGAGUCACGGUUACCAUAUUGGCUGGCUUAUGGA